AGAGUUUGAUUUUGGCUCAGGACGAACGCUGGCGGCGCGCUUAACACAUGCAAGUCGUACGGAUUCGGGGCUUCGGCCCCGGGUCAGUGGCGAACGGGUGCGUAACACGUGAGCAACCUGCCUGGUUGUGGGGGAUAACCAGUGGAAACGCUGGCUAAUACCGCAUGAGCUCACCGGCUCGAGUGUGCUGGUGAGGAAAGCUCCUGCAAGGGAGUGCGACCAGAGGGGCUCGCGGCGUAUCAGCUGGUUGGUGGGGUAACGGCCCACCAAGGCGACGACGCGUAGCCGAUCUGAGAGGAUGAUCGGCCACAUUGGGACUGAGAUACGGCCCAGACUCCUACGGGAGGCAGCAGUGGGGAAUCUUGCGCAAUGGGCGAAAGCCUGACGCAGCGACGCCGCGUGCGGGAAGAAGCUUUUCGGAGUGUAAACCGCUGUCAGGGGGGAAGAACGGCCGGGGGAGGAAAUGCCCUCGGAGUGACGGUACCCCCAGAGGAAGCACCGGCUAACUCUGUGCCAGCAGCCGCGGUAAUACAGAGGGUGCGAGCGUUGUUCGGAAUUACUGGGCGUAAAGCGCGCGUAGGUGGUGUGUUAAGUCUACCCGUGAAAUGCUGGGGCUCAACCCCAUGCGCUGCGGGGGAUACUGGCACGCUGGAGACACGUAGAGGCAAGCGGAAUUCCGGGUGUAGCGGUGGAAUGCGUAGAGAUCCGGAAGAACACCGGAGGCGAAGGCGGCUUGCUGGGCGUGAUCUGACGCUGAGGCGCGAAAGCGUGGGGAGCAAACAGGAUUAGAUACCCUGGUAGUCCACGCCGUAAACGAUGGGCACUAGACGCUGGGGGGAUCGACCCCUUCGGUGUCGAAGCUAACGCGAUAAGUGCCCCGCCUGGGGAGUACGGCCGCAAGGCUGAAACUCAAAUGAAUUGACGG
Molecule: ribosomal RNA, 925 nt
Filed under: uncultured bacterium
Lineage: Bacteria
Description: bacterial SSU rRNA
Rfam family: Bacterial small subunit ribosomal RNA
Source: RNAcentral